UUGAUGACUAGCACUUUAGUAGAGCUGAAGGCUGCCAUUUGUAAAUAGUAACUAUAUUUAUUAAGUUAAGGAGUUGCUGAAGGUUGGAAAAGGCACUCAAUACUGUCUUACCCCAGAAUUUUGGACUAUGAAGACUAGUGUUUUUCAUCCUCUCUCCUGUCCUUGUCUCUGUUAUUGAUGUCUGGGAGCCUGAAGGCACAGCGUACUAUGACUGCAAGAUGGCACCUUCAGCAUGAACACUGGCUAUGAGGACUCUGGAUGGAAGAACGGAAGAGGAGAAUGCUAGGAAUUCCCUGUGCAACUAGAGAGGAGUGCUCGCCACAGAACUGGGCUGAAACCUAAGUACAACAAUAAUGAGCCAGACUUGAUUCGCAUGGAACCAACAGGACACUUACUCCUUCAGCUGCUUGGUUAACUUCACAACCUGAGAGGCCAGCGACAUGCAGGUCUCCACCACUACCAGGUACCUGGAGCACAGGGUGUGCCCCUGCCGCUCGGCGCUCUGGGAGGGCUUUUCCCCAGCGUGGUUCUGCAUGGUGACAUUUGCUCCAUAUUCAACCAAAGUCUGUCAAAAAAUGAAGAGACAUGUGUAUCAGGACAUCCCUGUACACAUUAUUUUUAAGUGACUGUAACAGAAUGUUGAAUAGGAUAAAGAGAGCAUCUAGGGACCUUUCAGCAGUCAGUUUCACACACCUCCCUUCAGAGUCUAUCAUGACAGAGAAGAGCCAAUCCUACUGCUACCAAUGCCCACCUGCAGCCCACAGAAGAAGAGGGCUGGGAAGGAGAGGAGGAGGCCGUCCACAGAGUGCUCUCCUUUAUGAGAUAUGCAGCGCAGUCUUUGUGGUGAGUUCUGUCCCUUGUCAUGGUUGGGCUCCAAGAGAAUCACUCAUAAAGUCAGAGAUGCCUGUAAGAGGGGAGACUGAAAUCUUACCUGUUCUUGUUUGCUUGGGCUUUAGUAACUGGAUUUAGUCUCUGGUCAUUGGUUUUGGAAUAACACUUGUUUAUUUGUUGCUGAGCCCACCUGAUCAGGAAUAAAA
Non-coding RNA from Callithrix jacchus (white-tufted-ear marmoset), 1037 nucleotides. The record is from RefSeq and is a predicted model, not a curated record. Lineage: Eukaryota; Metazoa; Chordata; Mammalia; Primates; Cebidae.